ACGCUGGCGGCAGGCCUAACACAUGCAAGUCGAGCGGUAGAGAGAAGCUUGCUUCUCUUGAGAGCGGCGGACGGGUGAGUAAUGCCUAGGAAUCUGCCUGGUAGUGGGGGAUAACGUUCGGAAACGGACGCUAAUACCGCAUACGUCCUACGGGAGAAAGCAGGGGACCUUCGGGCCUUGCGCUAUCAGAUGAGCCUAGGUCGGAUUAGCUAGUUGGUGGGGUAAUGGCUCACCAAGGCGACGAUCCGUAACUGGUCUGAGAGGAUGAUCAGUCACACUGGAACUGAGACACGGUCCAGACUCCUACGGGAGGCAGCAGUGGGGAAUAUUGGACAAUGGGCGAAAGCCUGAUCCAGCCAUGCCGCGUGUGUGAAGAAGGUCUUCGGAUUGUAAAGCACUUUAAGUUGGGAGGAAGGGCAGUUGCCUAAUACGUAACUGUUUUGACGUUACCGACAGAAUAAGCACCGGCUAACUCUGUGCCAGCAGCCGCGGUAAUACAGAGGGUGCAAGCGUUAAUCGGAAUUACUGGGCGUAAAGCGCGCGUAGGUGGUUUGUUAAGUUGGAUGUGAAAUCCCCGGGCUCAACCUGGGAACUGCAUUCAAAACUGACUGACUAGAGUAUGGUAGAGGGUGGUGGAAUUUCCUGUGUAGCGGUGAAAUGCGUAGAUACAGGAAGGAACACCAGUGGCGAAGGCGACCACCUGGACUGAUACUGACACUGAGGUGCGAAAGCGUGGGGAGCAAAC
RNAcentral lists this ribosomal RNA (745 nucleotides) under uncultured bacterium. RNAcentral's name for it is "bacterial SSU rRNA". It matches the Rfam family "Bacterial small subunit ribosomal RNA", at positions 33 to 773 of the family's 1533-position model. The record is from RNAcentral.